This 497-nucleotide ribosomal RNA is filed under the name uncultured bacterium. RNAcentral describes it as "partial 16S ribosomal RNA". It matches the Rfam family "Bacterial small subunit ribosomal RNA", at positions 28 to 507 of the family's 1533-position model. The record is from RNAcentral.
GAUGAACGCUGGCGGCGUGCCUAAUACAUGCAAGUCGAGCGAACAGACGAGGAGCUUGCUCCUCUGACGUUAGCGGCGGACGGGUGAGUAACACGUGGAUAACCUACCUAUAAGACUGGGAUAACUUCGGGAAACCGGAGCUAAUACCGGAUAAUAUAUUGAACCGCAUGGUUCAAUAGUGAAAGACGGUUUUGCUGUCACUUAUAGAUGGAUCCGCGCCGCAUUAGCUAGUUGGUAAGGUAACGGCUUACCAAGGCAACGAUGCGUAGCCGACCUGAGAGGGUGAUAGGCCACACUGGAACUGGGACACGGUCCAGACUCCUAAGGGAGGCAGCAGUAGGGAAUCUUCCGCAAUGGGCGAAAGCUUGACGGAGCAACGCCGAGUGAGUGAUGAAGGUCUUCGGAUCGUAAAACUCUGUUAUUAGGGAAGAACAAAUGUGUAAGUAACUAUGCACGUCUUGACGGUACCUAAUCAGAAAGCCACGGCUAACUACGUG